This is a long non-coding RNA of Alosa sapidissima (American shad), 643 nucleotides long. RefSeq lists it as uncharacterized. Lineage: Eukaryota; Metazoa; Chordata; Actinopteri; Clupeiformes; Clupeidae. The record is from RefSeq and is a predicted model, not a curated record. The transcript is spliced from 2 exons.
GUGUGUGUGUGUGUGUAUGUGUGUGUGUGUGUGUGUGUGUGUGUGUGUGUGUGUGUGUGUGUGUAAAGCGAGAGAUUAAUACUGUUCCAUUUAAAGCACAUUUAUGGGUUUGUCUUCAUUCAAUCAGGGUUGAAGGAGAGAGAAAGAUUGUGUGUGUGUGUGUGUGUUUGUGUGUGAGGGGAUCUAUAGUGAUGUCAUGUACAGAUGCUUUGUUUCAGUCUGAAGAUCAAAGCCUCCGUCUCAUUGCACAAGACCUUCUUUCACUGUGUGUGUGUGUGUGGUGUGUGUGUGUGUGAGAGAGAGUGAGAGAGAUUGAUAUUGAUGAAUGUAUAGAUGUAUAGUUUCAAUUCAGAAGUUAGCCAGUGAGCACCACACUCCCAAUACUAGCUCACACACACACACACACACACACACACACACACACACACAGCACCUCUCUGGGAGAAGUGGCUGUUGUCUGUUAGGUUGCACUAUAUGUCCGUCACAUUUCAUGACAACUGUGAGCUUUGGAGUGUGUGUGUGUGUACCUCUGACUAUUCCUCUCCUGGUGGACCACUGUCACCUCAGCCGCUAAGCAGACAAACUGAUGAACUUAAUUAUGGAAAUAAAUAAGGAAAUAAAUAAACAAGCUUACUGUACACAA